Molecule: microRNA precursor, 59 nt
Filed under: Callorhinchus milii (elephant shark)
Lineage: Eukaryota; Metazoa; Chordata; Chondrichthyes; Chimaeriformes; Callorhinchidae
Description: Cmi-Mir-33-P3_pre stem-loop
Rfam family: mir-33 microRNA precursor family
Source: RNAcentral
GUGCAUUGUAGUUGCAUUGCAUGUGCCGCCAUGUUGUGCAAUGUGUCUGCAGUGCAAUA